This 287-nucleotide unclassified non-coding RNA is filed under the name Coprinopsis foetidella. Its description in RNAcentral is "Coprinus foetidellus partial contains 5.8S ribosomal RNA, internal transcribed spacer 2, and large subunit ribosomal RNA". The record is from RNAcentral. Lineage: Eukaryota; Fungi; Basidiomycota; Agaricomycetes; Agaricales; Psathyrellaceae.
CGCACCUUGCGCUCCUUGGUAUUCCGAGGAGCAUGCCUGUUUGAGUGUCAUUAAAUUCUCAACCUCACCAGUUUUGCUGUGUGAUGGCUUGGAUGUGGGGGUUGCAGGUCCACUCUGUGGUCUGCUCCUCUAAAAUGUAUUAGUGGGUUGAGCCCCUAAUCUAUUGGUGUGAUAAUUAUCUACGCCGUGGAUUGGAAGGCUAUCAUAGACCUGCUUCUAACCGUCCCUCACAGGACAACUUUGACAUUUUUGACCUCAAAUCAGGUAAGACUACCCGCUGAACUUAA